AGACAAAUAGCUGGGUCAAAUGGUGGUUCCAUUCCCAGAUUUCCAAGGAAUCUCCAUACUGCUUUCCAUAUUGGCUGCACCAAUUUGCAGUCCCACAAGCAGU
This 103-nucleotide microRNA precursor is filed under the name Marmota monax (woodchuck). Lineage: Eukaryota; Metazoa; Chordata; Mammalia; Rodentia; Sciuridae. The record is from RNAcentral.